AGUAACCGCAUCAAAACCUCAAAGUACAACGUUAUCACAUUUCUGCCUAUCAACUUGUUUGAGCAGUUCCAACGAGUUGCCAAUGCAUAUUUUCUGUUCCUGCUGCUUUUACAGCUGAUUCCUCAUAUUUCUUCACUGUCCUGGUUUACCACUAUAGUGCCUUUAGUGCUGGUGUUAACCAUCACUGCAGUCAAAGAUGCUACAGAUGAUUUUUUUCGCUACAAGAGUGAUAAUCAGGUCAACAACCGACACUCUCAGGUGCUCAUCGAUGGCAAG
Long non-coding RNA from Rhincodon typus (whale shark), 276 nucleotides. RefSeq lists it as uncharacterized. The record is from RefSeq and is a predicted model, not a curated record. The transcript has 3 exons. NCBI's taxonomy places the organism in Eukaryota, Metazoa, Chordata, Chondrichthyes, Orectolobiformes, Rhincodontidae.